CGAACACUGAUCGGUAGGAGUGACGGCUCUAAACUGGCAUCAGCUUGACUUUUCCAUUCUCAGUCCAUUGUGAUGUUAUUCCAGGAUGCAGCAGACAGCAUACCUCCAUCUCUUGGUUGAUCUUCCUGAAUGGCUGGAGUGCAAAUCUUCUCCACAGUCAGCUGGAGGCAUUUACCAGAGGGGUGAAAGAUAGAAACCAGCUCAUAGGAAAAUAUUCGACAGUGCCCUGUACAUAAUGCAUUGUUUUGGUUUUGUCUCAAGGAACAGAAGAACAGGGCAUGCUGCUAAGUUCCAGCCACAGAACAGAAGAGUGCAAUCCUUUUAUAAAUGCCUUCCAGGCAUCAGACGUUCUGGAGAAGUCUGGGAGUCAGCAGUGAUUCUGACCUAAGAUUCCCAGGCACCACAGCACCCCAGUGAUAUGUAGACUGCAGGCCAUGUUUUGGACUCCUCCAUUCCCAGAAGAGGACACCAAACUUCCUGCUCCAAUAAAAAAAAACUGAGAACAACA
Molecule: small RNA, 508 nt
Filed under: Rattus norvegicus (Norway rat)
Lineage: Eukaryota; Metazoa; Chordata; Mammalia; Rodentia; Muridae
Description: uncharacterized LOC102552186
Source: RNAcentral